This is an RNA transcript of Eriocheir sinensis (Chinese mitten crab), 7050 nucleotides long. It is a transcript of the gene named zinc finger protein 724-like, with no coding region annotated. The transcript is spliced from 4 exons. The record is from RefSeq and is a predicted model, not a curated record. Lineage: Eukaryota; Metazoa; Arthropoda; Malacostraca; Decapoda; Varunidae.
AAACACAUCCGCAUCCACACAUCCUCUGUAGAGUGCGGAUGCGGAUGCGGAUGCGGAUGUAUAUUUCACCACAAAUGCGGAUGCGGAGGCGGAGGCGGAUGUUCAGUUUAUCACAACUACGGAUGCGGAUGCGGAUGCGGAUGUGAAAAAAUAUGCGGAUGUUCCGCGGAUGCGGAUGCGGAUGCGGAUAUCCGAUACAUCUCUAGUAUACACCAACAACCAAGCCUCAGAACAAACGAAAACAACAGUACACAAGUUUUGGACAAUAAGAGAAAAAAGAAUGAAAGAAAGAGGAAAACAAUAGACCCAGACAGUAGAUACAUCAGGGAGUGCCGUUACAAAGGCAAAACUCCCGACCGACUACUACUACUACUACUACUACUACUCUAUUCUUUCGAAACCCACGAGAAGUUAAUCAAGACAAGGAGAGGGUGUUCCCCGGCUGCCUGGGACGUGACGGGAGAGCCAAAGAGGAUAGCCGGCGUGUGGGAUGGGUUGAGGGUCCAACAUUGCCUCUUUCGUGUUCAAGCCGCCUGGCGCUCUCGCCUCAUCAAUGGGAAGGACUACUGGCCAUGAGUGUAGCGUUGAGGAAGACUUGCUGCCCCCUCGCCCUCAAGGCUGGCCUGCAGCCUGAGUGGCCAGGAGCAGCGGAGCAGACUGUCACUGGUGUGAGGACCAAGGCCUGAUGAGAAGGACCACCACCACCGUGCUGCUGCCUUCUCCAGCCAUAAAGGAAAGGGAAAGGUUGAGUGUCAGGACUGUAGGACAAUUUGAUAGGGGAGAGGAAGUUCAUCAGACACAGCCUUGCACACACUGGUUCAGGAAACCAUGAGAGCCAGGAGUGUGAGAAAAGCCUCCCUGGGAAGGGUGACUUUGACUAAGACACUCACUCCUUCUGCUGAAAGAAAUCAUGAUUGUGCAGUUUGUGGGGAAAGUUUCAGCAAGAAGGGUGAACUCAAGACACAUAGCCUUUCACACACUGCUGAAAAAAAUUAUGAAUGUGAAGUUUGUGGGAAAAGAUUAAAUCAGAAGAGUACCCUCAACAGACACAUCCUUACACACACUGGUGAAAGAAAUCAUGAAUGUGAAGUUUGUGGGAAAAGAUUUAAUCAGAAGAGUACCCUCAACACACACAUCCUUACACACACUGGUGAAAGAAAUUAUGAAUGUGAAGUUUGUGGGAAAAGAUUUAAUCUGAAGAGUACCCUCAACAGACACAUCCUUAUACACACUGGUGAAAGAAAUUAUGAAUGUGAAGUUUGUGGGAAAAGAUUUAAUCAGAAGAGUUACCUCAACACACACAUCCUUACACACACUAGUGAGAGAAAUCAUGAAUGUGAAGUUUGUGGGAAAAGAUUUAAUCGGAAGAGUUACCUCAACACACACAUCCUUACACACACUGGUGAGAGAAAUCAUGACUGUGAAGUUUGUGGGAAAAGAUUUAAUCGGAAGAGUCACCUCAACACACACAUCCUUACACACACUGGUGAGAGAAAUCAUGAAUGUGAAGUUUGUGGGAAAAGAUUUAAUCAGAAGAGUCACCUCAACAGACACAUCCUUACACACACUGGUGAGAGAAAUCAUGAAUGUGAAGUUUGUGGGAAAAGAUUUAAUCAGAAGAGUACCCGCAACAGACACAUCCUUACACACACUGGUGAGAGAAAUCAUGAAUGUGAAGUUUGUGGGAAAAGAUUUAAUCGGAAGAAUUACCUCAACACACACAUCCUUACACACACUGGUGAGAGAAAUCAUGAAUGUGAAGUUUGUGGGAAAAGAUUUAAUCUGAAGAGUACCCUCAACAGACACAUCAUUACACACACUGGUGAGAGAAAUCAUGAAUGUGAAGUUUGUGGGAAAAGAUUUAAUCGGAAGAGUUACCUCAACACACACAUCCUUACACACACUGGUGAGAGAAAUCAUGAAUGUGAAGUCUGUGGGAAAAAAUUCUCUUUAAAGUCAUACCUGAAGAGACAUAGCAUAAGACACACUGGUCACAAAGGGUUCAAAUGCGAUGCUUGUGGAAAGCGUUUCAUGACCAGAGGUGAGAUUACCAGACAUGUGAAGAUUCACCUCUGAGGUGUUGUGUUGUGCUGCUGUAUGUGGGAGAGAGUAGGCAGUGCAGGGCAGCAUUGACUAGCAUGAAGGACAGAAAAUAUAACCCAGAUGGGCAAUUAAGGCAUUUUGUGUGUGUGUGUGUGUGUGUGUGUGUGUGUGUGUGUGUGUGUGUGUGUGUGUGUGUGUGUGUGUGUGUGUGUAUUUACCUAUUUGUAUUCACAUGUUUGUAGUUUACCGGGCCCGGUCUAAGCUCUAAUAGUCCCGUCUCCAUAUCUACAUUCCUUUGCCUUUCCAUCAUUUGUUGGGCACUGUACGCCUCCACCACCUCUUCCCGCAAGCUGUUCCAUGUAUUUAUGAGAUAGCCUGCCCCCCUUGUAUGUCAGUAAAUGUGAUGAAUGAGGUAACCUACACCCCUUGUAUGUCAGUAAAUGUGAUGAAUGAGGUAACUUGCACCCCUUGUAUGUCAGUAAAUGUGAUAAAUGAGAUAGCCUGCCCCCCUUGUAUGUCAGUAAAUGUGAUGAAUGAGGUAACCUACACCCCUUGUAUGUCAGUAAAUGUGAUGAAUGAGGUAACCUACACCCCUUGUAUGUCAGUAAAUGUGAUAAAUGAGAUAACCUACACCCCUUGUAUGUCAGUAAAUGUGAUAAAUGAGAUAACCUACACCCCUUGUAUGUCAGUAAAUGUGAUAAAUGAGGUACCCUACACCCUUGUAUAUCAGUAAAUGUGAUUAAUGAGAUAACCUACACCCCUUGUAUGUCGGUAAAUAUACUCCCAUGUCCUUCUCUGCCUCUGUGGUGGAUGGUGGAGUGUUUCUCAUGUGGUAUUGGUGUGCUGGAUAUCCCCUCCCAAGGUGCAGGACUUUACAUUUCUCUUCAUUGAAUUGUAGCAGACACUUUUUGUUCCAUCCCUGUAGCUUAGUGAGUUCUGACUGCAGGAAAUCCAUAGUCAAGGUGUUAAUUGACUCUCUAAGUGAGAAAAAUGAGAAAAAAUCACCCCUCACACAAAUGAUUUCAAAAUAUAUAUCAAAGCAUUUGUGAUCAGAUUAUGUAUCAUCUAUUUUGGGGGUUUAUAUCAUGGCACAAAUUUGGCCCGUCGCUGCUACACGUUAAAGCCACAAAUUUGGCCCGUCACUGCUACUGGGUUAAUCAAGGCCAGCCCUUCCUAUGUGCUCACUACAAUCAUUGCGCAGGGCCUCUCAUCACUGGGGGGCCUAAGGAUGUGCAUAAAUGAAAAGAGAAAGAAAAUCAGGACGGUGCUUUCAUUAUUCCCCCAUGAUAAAAAGCUCUAUAAACAGCAUUAAACAAAUUUAAGAAAAAACAAAUAUAUUUAUUUAUUUUACAUUGCUUAGGACAGGGAUCUAAUUUGUAGAGCGAGUACAUAGGGAAAAAAAGUUAACAUAAGGCUAAAUAUGUUUUCAUAGGAGAUGUCUAAGUGGGGACAUGAUAGAGCUAUAUAAAAUGUUUUCAGAUUGCGAUAACUUAGAUGUGGAUACUUUCUUUACACUAGAGGAGGGCAACUAUAGAUGGCCUGAGUCCCGCAGCAAAGUGUGCCAGAUGUGUGACAGGGGUGUGGACGAGACAUGUUGUGCUGGAAUGUAAGAAGUAUGACAGGGAGAGAACGAAGAUGAUGCAGGUGUUUCUGAGUGAGAUGGGGCGUGGAGUGAACGGUAAGGGUGUGGACGAGACAUGUGGUGCUGGAAUGUAAGAAGUAUGACAGGGAGAGAACGGAGAUGAUGCAGGUGUUUCUGAGUGAGAUGGGGCGUGGAGUGAACGGUAAGGGAGUGGGCGAGACAUGUGGUGCUGGAAUGUAAGAAGUAUGACAGGGAGAGAACGAAGAUGAUGCAGGUGUUUCUGAGUGAGAUGGGACAUGGAGUGAAUGGGAGAACGGUAAGGGAGUGGAUGGUGCUGUUCAGUGGAGAGACGAGUGGACGAGUGAUUGAGGCAGUGAAAGAGUUCCUGGAGAGCAUGUGGCGUGCAAGAGGUCCAGUCCAGUCCAGUCCAUUAGUAGGCGUGGGAUUGCCUUUGUAACGGCUCCCUCCAGGGGCGGAUACAGAGGGGGGCCCAGGGGGCCCAGGCCCCCCCAAAAUCUCGAGUGUAUGCGGAUAGUGGGUACAUAACUGACUCGCCUAUAAUGUGCUGCAACUAUAAUACGGAAUGUGUCGUCGGCUGUAGGCAUAUGCAGGCGCGUAUACGGGGGUGGGGAGCCAGAUGGCCCGGGACCCCCGAAAAAAAAUAUUAGGAUAACUAAAAUAUUUGAAAUACCCAUAACCUGUCAAGUCUUACGUUUUUUGUGUGUCUUACGUAAUUUCUGUGAUUUUCAAGUCAUACGGCGUAAGUUGAAAAUCUUACAUUUUUUCUCCGCUUGCGAUGUUUUUUUAAUAUGUUUGUUUUAAACAAUUUGAAAUAUAUCGUACGCGCCAUAUUUAAAUUCAUGUGAGCGUGCUGAGUAACGGCUGGUAUGAUUCGGACACUUUUUAGAAAAAUAUUUUUAGAAAAAGAAGUUUAAGAAGUAGUGUAAUUUUGUUGAUCUCAAAAUGUUCCUCUAUCAUUGGGCUCUUUAGGUUACUAAUAUGACACUCGUAGCUAUUUCCAGAUUUCAGAUGUAGGUGAUGAAAGACAAGUUUCUAAAUCGUCCGAACCAUCCCCACCCGUGGUGAUGGUUCGGCCAGGGAGGUGGGAUGGUACGGACACUCAUAAUACUCGCCAUAAUAUUAAUAUAACUUAAGUUUGAUUGGCUAAUAAACAAGAUUAUAUAUACUACAAGACAUUUUUUUAAGGACAAAAGUAUCCUCUCAAUACUUAGAGGGGAAAAAAUAAAAGGAGAACUACAAGAAAUAUCUCAAAAAUUUUGGUAUUAUGUCUUCCUUCUCUUCUCACAAGUCGAGUCGAGAUGAAGAAGACGGCCGCCAGUUUUUCCUCCUCACAGCUGCUGUCCACUUCCUCCGCUCUUCUGGAUUCGCUGGAAAUCUAUAAAAUGACACAGCAUCUCUCCCGUGUCAGUUAGAACAUCCAACCGCACAGCAUACGUAUCCCAUGACGAACACAGAGCACUUGUUUACCCGCCACCAAGGUUUGCUUUGAUAAGUGACUACCACCACUGACCACCAAGAUGGCCGUGCAGGCCCGCGCUACCCCCGCACCCCCACUGAUGACGUCAGCUGCAAAACCUCUAUAGCUUCCUUGGGCUUUACUAUGCGGAGGUGGACUGGAUGCUCAUGCAUGCAAGAUUUAGAUUUUUUCGGUGUCUGAUGUAAUUUUUCACUCUUCUACAGGGCCAGGGCACAACGGGCAUGUGCCCAGGGCUCCGCGCUAUUAUGGGGCCCGCACUCAUCUAACAAUCUAUAUACUCGUACAGGGCCGUAGUACGCCGUACCCAGGGGGGGGUGGAGGGGCCGGGGGUGUCGGACGACCCCCCAAUCUGCAAAAAUGUCCACUUUCUGAGAGUCAAAUGGAAAACUGGUACUGGGAUUGAGGUAAAACAUUUGCAAAGAUUGGCUGAUCUAAAGAAAUAUAUUUACAAAUUCCCAAGUAUUCAACUAGUUCCUCACUAAGCAAAGAGUAGUCGGCGGUUUUUUUCGCUGAAUUUGCUUAUCACUCUCGACUGAAAUGGGGAUAUCAUAGUGGACACAAAGGAGGGCAAGUCCGUUCAGGCGAUCUUGGCCGACGGUACUCCUCAGAUAGGUUUUCAGCCUUUUCAGUGGUGAGAAAGACCUCUCGGCUUCCGCGUUAGAGACUGGAAGCGUCAACAGAGUCCUCAAGAGAAUGGCGAGAUUGGGGAACAUGCUGAUGCUGGCGUGUGCCUGGGCUUCGUUGAUAGUUUGGAAGACCGGAACAGAUAAUGCCCAGCGCCUUCACGAGUGUCAGGGAUGCGAUGACGAGCUCGUAGAGCUUCGCUGCUUGUAGCACAGCCGCAACAUCCGUUUCGAGGCCUUUUAGGAGUUGCUUGAGCUGAAGUGCGACAGGCACUGUGUCGUCGCCAAACCGACUCUUCAACUCAGCCAAGACGUGGUCCACGAACGGAAUGUACACCGCCCAGCAUUCUCGCACGGGACAUUUGAUAGCUGGGUCUGUCGUCCACAGAGUCGUGGCACGGAGAUGGUGUCAUGCGAUGACCCCACCUCGACCAAAAACUCUUCCGCUUUCAUGAACACGUCGUGGAUAUGAUUCUCCGCAUCUGCUCUGAGCUUGGCAAAAGUGGUAUCGAUGCCACGAAUCGUGGCAUAGGCUGACACCAGGUCGUCAUCUUUUCUCUGAAGAGUUCGGCUCGGCUCGAGAGUAUGCACCAAUAUACACUCCACUACAACCAGUCCAACGAGAAAGGGGGGAACACGUAUGGCGAUGAGAAGGAGCCCAGCGGUGGCGUCAAGUUCUUCUUCGAGAAAAACAGCGAUGACAGGCAUUCAACGAAAACCAGCACUGCGCAUGCCUCUCAAUCCACCUGGUGGGGCACAGGGGAACAAACUUUUCGCGCUUGGCCGAGGCAAGCUUGACAACCUCUGUGAUGCGGAGAGAGCUUAUAUUCGAAGAAUGAACGAAGUUGUACACGUCGGUCAGUGUUUGAAGAGCGAUCUUCACUUCCUUGACGUCACACGCCUUCGUCAGUACUAGAUUCUGCCGGUGGUUAAAGCAGUGGAUUGGCUUGGCCAGGGUUUACUUCUUCAUGAGUACUGCGGCACACUCUUUGAAUUUUCCCAUCAUCCCCUGCACUUGGCCAUGUCCAAUCCGAGGUCUUCAACGGUGCGCAAAACGAGCCCGACUAAACCUUUACCGGUGAGGUCAUGGGUGUGCACAAAGGCAAGGAAGUCUGCCCUUAUUUCCUCUUCGAAGUGCCGAAUGAUGAUAGUGGCCUGCACUAAAAUUUACUUUCUGCUUGCAUGUGAGGAAUGAGGUCACAAAGUUUUUUCCUAGGCCUUUAAAUCUUGCUCUGUAAUAUUCAAUAUACGAUUCCGUAACUUAAAUACUGAAAAUAAAUAAAGAAAAUCCCGAGUUCUCCAGA